UACGGAGGAUGCAAGUGUUAUCCGGAAUCACUGGGCGUAAAGCGUCUGUAGGUUGUUUAGUAAGUCAACUGUUAAACCUUGAAGCUCAACUUCAAAAUCGCAGUCGAAACUAUUAGACUAGAGUAUAGUAGAGGUAAAGGGAAUUUCCAGUGGAGCGGUGAAAUGCGUAGAUAUUGGAAAGGACACCGAUGGCGAAAGCACUUUACUGGGCUAUUACUAACACUCAGAGACGAAAGCUAGGGUAGCAAAUGGG
Molecule: ribosomal RNA, 253 nt
Filed under: uncultured bacterium
Lineage: Bacteria
Description: partial 16S ribosomal RNA
Rfam family: Bacterial small subunit ribosomal RNA
Source: RNAcentral